UGGUAGUGGCUUUAGGGCCUCACGCCCAACUUGGAACAAGGGCCUCACGCCCAACCUUCUCUCAAGGUGACGAAGCAAGAUUGCUAAGGAAGAAAGAAGCACUUUUUAUUCAUUCAUCAAUUGAAAUUACAAGAUAUCAUGAGGAGGUAUUUAUAGACUUUCCUCAUGAUUUGAAAUUUAAACACAUAAUGAAUGGCGCUCCACAUUUGAAGGCUUGGUUGCUAGAG
Molecule: long non-coding RNA, 227 nt
Filed under: Phoenix dactylifera (date palm)
Lineage: Eukaryota; Viridiplantae; Streptophyta; Magnoliopsida; Arecales; Arecaceae
Description: long non-coding RNA (PDAC_LNC013238)
Source: RNAcentral